CACAUAUGGGAAAAAGACUUUGUAAAUCAAAACGUGUUCUGCAAAUAAUUAACCAGUUCAAAUGGAUUUGGGAAGAACGAGCCAACCCUGGGAAGCCUCAUUUCCGGCCUUGCUCUAGGUCCUGCCUGACAUCACUGAUGCAGGCUCCACAGGGCAGCAGGUGGUCACCGCCUUUCUGAAAAAGCCCACAGAACAGCCAGAAACUUCUUCACUUCCCCUUCCAACUGUCACUCCCUGCGUCCAGACAUAACGGCCCCUUCAGGUUCCUGCACGAGCUAAGCUGUAUCUUCCAUCUGUCAUACUCUGUGAUACACUGUGAGGCUCUUUGCAUCCCUAGUUUUAAAUUUUUUAUUUCAGAAAAAUUAAAAUCUCCCCUUCUGGAGAGCAUUCUUCUGCCAUGGCCUUAAAAUCUGACUCAGCGGUGGAGCUGUUGGUAGGAGCCCCAGUUUAUACUGUUAGGGCAGGGGACAGGCAUGAUCGGGGGCUCUGAGCAGAAAAUUGAAACAUCUUUUCAAUCUUGCCUGUGAGCUGAUUAUAUACUGUGAUGGAGUAAAGAGAGAGCAGGGCCUGUGUCUCAGCACUGUGAGACUUUGGGCAGUUCCAUCCCCCACUCUGAGCCUCUAUUCCCCUUCCAAGAAAUGGGAAUGAUGAUGGCUUCCCCAAGUAUCACAAGGACAACAAGGCGCAGCCCUCAGGAAGGCUCUGAGUACGGACCUGCCCUAUAAGUGGCAUUUCAUCAGCCUCGGGUCUCCUCCUCUCUCAACAGUCCAUGCCAAAGACCAGGAGCCAUCAGUACCAGCCCAGCGCUGCCCUUGGCUUGGGCACUGUGGAACCAGGAGGAGAUGGGAGGCCUGGUGGGCAGGGUGGAGGGGACUGUGAAGACUGGUGUUCACGACCACCCAGGAUGGUGGCUGUCCUGCUUGUCGCUUAAUCGGCCCGAGUCCAUUAAUUCACAGCUUGCUGCUUCCCAAGGAUACAGCCCCUUCCUCUGCCUUCCUUCCGCCCGGGCCCAACGUCUGCCACCCCCAUCCGAGUGUCCACAUCACUCCUCUGUCACGUGACGAGCUUCAGUCAGCCCUCCUGCCAGGGACCGCUGUCCCUCAGUCCCCCGUCCCCAACCUUGCCCUGUUCUCGGUUCCUGGACUGGCAGGGCCUCAGCCAUGCUGUGGACCUCAGCACAGAUGGCUCUGAGCCAGUCCCUCCCCCAGAUGGUGGCCGGGCUGCGAUGGACGUUAGAGACAGAGUCCGGGCCGGUGGGUGAGGCAUUUGGAGGCUGGGGCUAGGGGCUGGGAGCGGGUCCAUCAUGCUCCCUGACUGCCUCCUUCCCUCUGGCCCGGCCCAGCACAGCACACAGCUGACAACACAAAGAGGCUCUGGGGAACCUGGGUUCAGAAAAUGGAUUAAGGGGUGAGAUCUCCGCCUUCAUGCUGACUUCUCCAGCCUUCCCAACACCACCUUCCAUGUCCACGUUUGCUAAGUGACCACUGUGACACUGGGCCAGGUGCUGCGGAGGGAGCAGGUGCAGGCUGAGUGCAGGGGGACUGGCAAGUCCAACCUCUGGAAGAUUCAAGAGCCAUGCAGUGUCCCAGGCCCUUCUUCCCAUUCCACUCUCCCCUGCAAAGCAAGCAAGAUAUUGGCAUAGUGGCCAGACAUAGAAGGACUCGUCCUCUGCCCGGGUCGGAGGGGAGCUUGGGCCAGACCCAGCCGCCCUGUCAGGGAGACUCCUAAGACAAAUAAGCCUAAGCCACCUCAGAGCGUGGGUUCGCUACAGGCCGUUCCUUCACUGAGAGGGUCCGCAGGGCCUAGCAGCGUGGUGCAGGGUAGGAGUGGGGAAGGGCAAGACUGGAAAAGACUCACUAUGGAGACACUAGAAACCAGGAUGUUUGGGACAGAAUCCAUCACACUGAAGUUCGGAGCUUUUUUCUCCCAAUAAAUAGCACAAGUCAUGUCGAUAUUUGAUAACUUCUCCUCUCCAAACCCAUGAUGGCGCCACGCAGGAAGUCUUGACCCACGGGAAGGGCCUAAGUGGCAACAGUCAGGGCAGAGCAGGCUGUGGAUGCCCUGCAAGCAGGGCCUUGGGCCUGUUUUAUUUUUCACUUUAUUGUAGGAAA
Heterocephalus glaber (naked mole-rat) is the source of this 2111-nucleotide long non-coding RNA. The record is from Ensembl. NCBI's taxonomy places the organism in Eukaryota, Metazoa, Chordata, Mammalia, Rodentia, Bathyergidae.